Molecule: ribosomal RNA, 1434 nt
Filed under: uncultured bacterium
Lineage: Bacteria
Description: bacterial SSU rRNA
Rfam family: Bacterial small subunit ribosomal RNA
Source: RNAcentral
AGAGUUUGAUCCUGGCUCAGGAUGAACGCCGGCGGUGUGCCUAAUACAUGCAAGUCGUACGCACUGGCCCAACUGAUUGAUGGUGCUUGCACCUGAUUGACGAUGGAUCACCAGUGAGUGGCGGACGGGUGAGUAACACGUAGGUAACCUGCCUCGGAGCGGGGGAUAACAUUUGGAAACAGAUGCUAAUACCGCAUAACAACAAAAGCCACAUGGCUUUUGUUUGAAAGAUGGCUUUGGCUAUCACUCUGGGAUGGACCUGCGGUGCAUUAGCUAGUUGGUAAGGUAACGGCUUACCAAGGCAAUGAUGCAUAGCCGAGUUGAGAGACUGAUCGGCCACAAUGGAACUGAGACACGGUCCAUACUCCUACGGGAGGCAGCAGUAGGGAAUCUUCCACAAUGGGCGCAAGCCUGAUGGAGCAACACCGCGUGAGUGAAGAAGGGUUUCGGCUCGUAAAGCUCUGUUGUUGGAGAAGAACGUGCGUGAGAGUAACUGUUCUCGCAGUGACGGUAUCCAACCAGAAAGUCACGGCUAACUACGUGCCAGCAGCCGCGGUAAUACGUAGGUGGCAAGCGUUAUCCGGAUUUAUUGGGCGUAAAGCGAGCGCAGGCGGUUGCUUAGGUCUGAUGUGAAAGCCUUCGGCUUAACCGAAGAAGUGCAUCGGAAACCGGGCGACUUGAGUGCAGAAGAGGACAGUGGAACUCCAUGUGUAGCGGUGGAAUGCGUAGAUAUAUGGAAGAACACCAGUGGCGAAGGCGGCUGUCUGGUCUGCAACUGACGCUGAGGCUCGAAAGCAUGGGUAGCGAACAGGAUUAGAUACCCUGGUAGUCCAUGCCGUAAACGAUGAGUGCUAGGUGUUGGAGGGUUUCCGCCCUUCAGUGCCGGAGCUAACGCAUUAAGCACUCCGCCUGGGGAGUACGACCGCAAGGUUGAAACUCAAAGGAAUUGACGGGGGCCCGCACAAGCGGUGGAGCAUGUGGUUUAAUUCGAAGCUACGCGAAGAACCUUACCAGGUCUUGACAUCUUGCGCUAACCUUAGAGAUAAGGCGUUCCCUUCGGGGACGCAAUGACAGGUGGUGCAUGGUCGUCGUCAGCUCGUGUCGUGAGAUGUUGGGUUAAGUCCCGCAACGAGCGCAACCCUUGUUACUAGUUGCCAGCAUUAAGUUGGGCACUCUAGUGAGACUGCCGGUGACAAACCGGAGGAAGGUGGGGACGACGUCAGAUCAUCAUGCCCCUUAUGACCUGGGCUACACACGUGCUACAAUGGACGGUACAACGAGUCGCAAGCACGCGAGAGUAAGCUAAUCUCUUAAAGCCGUUCUCAGUUCGGACUGUAGGCUGCAGCUCGCCUGCAUGAAGUCGGAAUUGCUAGUAAUCGCGGAUCAGCAUGCCGCGGUGAAUACGUUCCCGGGCCUUGCACACACCGCCCGUCA